Molecule: unclassified non-coding RNA, 745 nt
Filed under: Sipha flava (yellow sugarcane aphid)
Lineage: Eukaryota; Metazoa; Arthropoda; Insecta; Hemiptera; Aphididae
Description: uncharacterized LOC112692660, transcript variant X1
Source: RNAcentral
UUUAUAAGUUAAAUAAAUUUAAUUAUUUCAAAAAGAAGUCUUAAUUAUUCCUGACUACACUUCCACACAAGCGUUGACUGGACGUUGUAACUGAGUUAACGGAUCAAACGGUUGGCACGUAACAAAAAUUGGCGCAGUCGGUAGGAUAUUCAAUAGAAGGCAAUUCCACAUCGGAACCACCGAGGAGCUGAACAACUUGCAGUCCUUCAACUUCUCAACUUCCAUUGAAUAGCUGAUACUCCACCGGAUCAUUCAGUCAACAACAUGUCUUCAAUCAACAAUUGUUUCUGUUUCCAAUGGUUCAAUUAUCGGUGUUGUUCCAACUGUUAAAAAUCUGUUGUCAUCGAGUUGAACGCAGACGAUCACACUGACUUCUGGUAGCUGCGUCCACAGAUCAGCUACUACAAAUUUAAACGGUUGCAUACAGUUGCAUUUUAACGGUUGCCCUACUUAUAGCGUAUAUAACGCGUAGUGUGUAACCGGAUACUUAUCGAUAUAGUAUUAUUUUCCCUCUAUCAAUAACGGCUGUCGGCGAUCAUAUAAGACUCUCCUACACCCGCGUAUGUUGUCUCUCCGCCCGACACACGAACGACGUAGCAAUUUUACGUUUAGCAGUUCAAAUGUAGAGAUGUUUUAGCUUUAGUAUUAGAGUAAACUGGCCUACGAUCAAACUUAUAGGGAACAACAUUAUCUGUGUUUUGUUGGUCGGGUUUUUCCGAUAUUUUUAUUUUUAAGCGUGCAAUGA